CACCGCCUGUCGCCGCUACUGAUUGAAUGGUUUGAUGAGGUCGUUGGAUUGGCGUCGUUGUAGUGGCUUUGCCUCUAUAUUGAUGCUGAGAUGACUUAAUUUGACUAUUUAGAGGAAUUAAAAGCCGUGACAUCGUUUCCGUAGGUGAACGUGGGGAAG
Molecule: non-coding RNA, 159 nt
Filed under: Schistosoma mansoni
Lineage: Eukaryota; Metazoa; Platyhelminthes; Trematoda; Strigeidida; Schistosomatidae
Description: Eukaryotic small subunit ribosomal RNA
Rfam family: Eukaryotic small subunit ribosomal RNA
Source: Rfam by way of RNAcentral